CAGUCGCCGCGGGAAUACGUAGGUGGCAAGCGUUGUCCGGAAUUAUUGGGCGUAAAGGGCUCGCAGGCGGUUUCUUAAGUCUGAUGUGAAAGCCCCCGGCUCAACCGGGGAGGGUCAUUGGAAACUGGGAAACUUGAGUGCAGAAGAGGAGAGUGGAAUUCCACGUGUAGCGGUGAAAUGCGCAGAGAUGUGGAGGAACACCAGUGGCGAAGGCGACUAUCUGGUCUGUAACUGACGCUGAGGAGCGAAAGCGUGGGGAGCGAACAGGAUUAGAUACCCGAGUAGUCCCUGUCUCUUAUAC
Molecule: ribosomal RNA, 301 nt
Filed under: uncultured bacterium
Lineage: Bacteria
Description: partial 16S ribosomal RNA
Rfam family: Bacterial small subunit ribosomal RNA
Source: RNAcentral